UACAGAGACUGCAAGCGUUGUUCGGAUUUACUGGGCGUAAAGGGCGCGUAGGCGGCCACCGCAAGUCGACUGUGAAAUCUCCGGGCUUAACCCGGAAAGGUCAGCCGAUACUGCGGGGCUAGAGUGCAGAAGGGGCAACUGGAAUUCUCGGUGUAGCGGUGAAAUGCGUAGAUAUCGAGAGGAACACCUGCGGCGAAGGCGGGUUGCUGGGCUGACACUGACGCUGAGGCGCGAAAGCUAGGGGAGCGAACGGG
RNAcentral lists this ribosomal RNA (254 nucleotides) under uncultured bacterium. RNAcentral's name for it is "partial 16S ribosomal RNA". It matches the Rfam family "Bacterial small subunit ribosomal RNA", at positions 524 to 776 of the family's 1533-position model. The record is from RNAcentral.